GCUGGCGUGGCGGAACUGGUAUACGCGGAGGGGUGGCAUCCCUCUGGGUCCGGGCUUGCUCCGGCCUUGCGGGUUCGAAUCCCGUCGCCAGCA
Molecule: transfer RNA, 93 nt
Filed under: Gemmatimonadota bacterium
Lineage: Bacteria; Pseudomonadati; Gemmatimonadota
Description: Gemmatimonadetes bacterium tRNA-Ala
Rfam family: tRNA
About the family: Transfer RNA (tRNA) molecules are approximately 80 nucleotides in length. Their secondary structure includes four short double-helical elements and three loops (D, anti-codon, and T loops). Further hydrogen bonds mediate the characteristic L-shaped molecular structure. tRNAs have two regions of fundamental functional importance: the anti-codon, which is responsible for specific mRNA codon recognition, and the 3' end, to which the tRNAs corresponding amino acid is attached (by aminoacyl-tRNA synthetases). tRNAs cope with the degeneracy of the genetic code in two manners: having more than one tRNA (with a specific anti-codon) for a particular amino acid; and 'wobble' base-pairing, i.e. permitting non-standard base-pairing at the 3rd anti-codon position.
Source: RNAcentral